ACGCGACGAACCUUACCAGGUCUUGACAUCCUCUGACACUCCUAGAGAUAGGACGUUCCCCUUCGGGGGACAGAGUGACAGGUGGUGCAUGGUUGUCGUCAGCUCGUGUCGUGAGAUGUUGGGUUAAGUCCCGCAACGAGCGCAACCCUUGAUCUUAGUUGCCAGCAUUUAGUUGGGCACUCUAAGGUGACUGCCGGUGACAAACCGGAGGAAGGUGGGGAUGACGUCAAAUCAUCAUGCCCCUUAUGACCUGGGCUACACACGUGCUACAAUGGACGGUACAAACGGUUGCCAACCCGCGAGGGGGAGCUAAUCCGAUAAAACCGUUCUCAGUUCGGAUUGUAGGCUGCAACUCGCCUACAUGAAGCCGGAAUCGCUAGUAAUCGCGGAUCAGCAUGCCGCGGUGAAUACGUUCCCGGGCCUUGCACUCACCGCCCGU
This 439-nucleotide ribosomal RNA is filed under the name uncultured bacterium. RNAcentral's name for it is "bacterial SSU rRNA". It matches the Rfam family "Bacterial small subunit ribosomal RNA", at positions 959 to 1397 of the family's 1533-position model. The record is from RNAcentral.